This is a long non-coding RNA of Glycine soja, 464 nucleotides long. RefSeq lists it as uncharacterized. The transcript is spliced from 2 exons. The record is from RefSeq and is a predicted model, not a curated record. NCBI's taxonomy places the organism in Eukaryota, Viridiplantae, Streptophyta, Magnoliopsida, Fabales, Fabaceae.
AUAGUAUGCCAUCCCUCAAGGAAGUUGCCCUUGAGAUUCUUCCAUCUGCUUGAUAAAUACUUAUGGGGUUGGUCUCCAGCUCUUUUGCAGAGAUUUUGAAAGGACUCUACACACUUGCCAUUUGAUUAACGAAGUAUUGAAGUUGGGGCCCAAAGAAAUGGCGUUUUCUAGCAUAAAAGUGGUGUCAAUGAGUAGCAAGUUGUUACUUGUACAGUUUAUAAAUUCAUCUUUCGUCAUUUGUGUGUGGACUAUUGUGUAGAACUUUAUCAGACCAUCACAAUCACUGAUUAAAAGAAUCACUUUGUGUUUUUCGCUGUUUUUUUUUUGUUAUAAUACAAAUGAAGAUAAGGUCCUGUAUUUUGGUAAACAAAAGGUGGUGGCUUGUUAUUAAUCUUUGCUAUUGACGAUAAUUGGUUCAAUGUUGUACUUGUAUCUUUUUAAUUAUGAAUAUAUAUAUUUUGUUU